UACGUAGGGUGCGAGCGUUCAUCGGAAUUACUGGGCGUAAAGCGUGCGCAGGCGGUUCGUUAUGUCCGAUGUGAAAGCCCCGAGCUCAACUUGGGAAUGGCAUUGGAAACUGGCGGGCUGGAGUGUGGCAGAGGGGGGUGGAAUUCCACGUGUAGCAGUGAAAUGCGUAGAGAUGUGGAGGAACACCGAUGGCGAAGGCAGCCCCCUGGGCCAACACUGACGCUCAGGCACGAAAGCGUGGGGAGCAAACAGG
RNAcentral lists this ribosomal RNA (253 nucleotides) under uncultured bacterium. RNAcentral describes it as "partial 16S ribosomal RNA". It matches the Rfam family "Bacterial small subunit ribosomal RNA", at positions 524 to 776 of the family's 1533-position model. The record is from RNAcentral.